AGCUCAUGUAGUCCUACAAAAAGAUGCUGUCUCUUUAACUGUCCGUGUGCUACGCCCACCUUCCCAGGAUACACCUGUCCCAUCUGGGACCAUUUUGCAUGCUCAAACUCCACCCCAUUUGCAUGUUUAAUGGGGGGGGUACCACCCCCUUCCUUAUAAAAAGACGUGGCGGGCAGGAGAGAGUGCGCACUCCACCGUGGACCCAGCUUGGAGGCACGGCUCUCGGUUUCACUCUUCCCACUGCAGCAGUAGAUGGAGUUCUGUUACGGUUUGGAGAUAAAUCUGAGGAUGAAUUCAAGACUGUCUAUGUUAAAAGCCACUGCAAGUGAAUACGUGCAUACCUAUUUAUGUUGGUGGCUGGGUCACGUCUCGGGUGAGAACAGCUUCCCACGUCAACUCCCUGUGCAGGAAAAGUCCAUGGGAGAGAACCAAGAGUCAGGAUUCCUGGGCAUGGACUGGAAGCCUGGGUGCCUGUUUCGGCUCUGUGGCCAGCGAGUGUGUCUUCCUGGGAACUCCGCGAUGAUUUCUGCAGCACUGUCAAAUGUGUUUUUGCUACAUGGUGCAGCAGGCAAUUAAUUCAGCAAACUGCAAAUGCAGCCUGAGGCCCUGGGAUACUGUUCCACUGCCGCAGUCCCUGGCCUGGGCGCCCUCUCUGGCACACUGAGACCCAUGGCUGCAUCGGAAGAAAAACCCUCAGGGCAAAAAGGCAAGGCAGGCGAGGAACUCCCUCCUCCAGGGUCGUGAAACGCUGUGAGGUUUUCCAUUCUUUCAACACUCUCUCUGCUUUUCAACGGUGCGGGUGUUUCUGGGCGUGGGACCGGGCUGCUCGGGGGUUGGAUCUGCGGCACCAGUUUGAGGAGCUCAGCCUGGCCAGUCUGUUGCAGGAGGAGGCCACGUGCUGCUUGGCAGGAGGAACCAAGAGGUUUUGACUGAGGGGGUUUGCUGCCUUGGCCCCUACUUCCGAGUUUCUAAAGAACCAAGCUCUGAACCAAGCCAGAGCUGGUUUCUGAUGGCUGUCUCUUCACACACCGAAAGCUCAGGCAGUCUACAAUGGUGGUCGUCGGUAGUGACCGCGGGUCAAGGCCUGUUGGAGGCUGCUUCAUGGAAAACACAGAUUCUGAAAAAAGAUGAUGCAUCGAUCUCAAAAUUUUUUGGACUUGAGUAAACUUACAUUUUUUAAAAAAUAGAAUCUUCCAUCUACUGAUUCACUCUCCAAAUGGCCCCAACAGCUGGGACUGGUUCAGACCAAAGCAGGAGCCCAGAAACUCCAUCCGGGUCUCCCAC
This 1284-nucleotide long non-coding RNA is filed under the name Oryctolagus cuniculus (rabbit). RNAcentral's name for it is "lncRNA (ENSOCUG00000035684.1)". Lineage: Eukaryota; Metazoa; Chordata; Mammalia; Lagomorpha; Leporidae. The record is from RNAcentral.